This 849-nucleotide ribosomal RNA is filed under the name Hippasella alhue. RNAcentral describes it as "partial 28S ribosomal RNA". The record is from RNAcentral. Lineage: Eukaryota; Metazoa; Arthropoda; Arachnida; Araneae; Lycosidae.
AUGAUCAGUCUGGAGUUGCCGUCGCGCUGGUCGGAAAUCAAAGCAAGGCUUCCCGCGAACGGGGCCGUCCGACCGCGAGCUUCGGUCAGGCCAGACGCAAUUGUCUCCCGCUCCGAGGACGCCGCAACCGGUCGGGCAGUUUGCAAACGUGACGGCCUGGAAGGCGGACGACGGCAGGUGGCCGGUGGGGAGCUCUAUGCGCUCCGCCGGUUGUUAGCCGGUCCGUCGGUGGCACGUCCCCCGACCGAGGUAUCGAGAUGCCCCCAGGGGCGUCCACGUCUCCUCCUCCAAGGAAGUCGGGACCGUCCGUCGCGAGCGAAGGCAGCCGCGCGGCCGCACUCCGCCGGAGUGGGCCAGCGUCUAGUCGGCGCCGGCGGCGACGGAGGACCCGUCGGAGGUCGGAGGUUGGCGGCGAGUAGGUCGGUCACCCACCCGACCCGUCUUGAAACACGGACCAAGGAGUCUAACAUGUGCGCGAGUCAAUGGGUCUCGAAUAAGCCCAGAGGCGCAAUGAAAGCGAAGGUCGGCGCCACGCCGACCGAGUCGGGAUCCCCCUUCUCGCAGGGGGGGGGGCUUCCGACAACCCCGCCGUGCCCGUUUACGGGUUGGGAGGAGGGGGAUGGUCAACUUUGGGCCCCCAAGACGGGGCAACAUGACCCGGGGGGGGAAGGGCCCAAGGAAACUUAGGUGGAGGUCCCUCGUGGUACCUACGUCUAAGUCCUACGGAAAACUCGGGCCAUGGGGGAAAAAAUUAACCUAACAAAUUCUUUUAUAAUUUUUUACGUAUAUAUAUAACUUUUAUAUCAAUAUUAAUUCUAUUUAUAUAUUAUUUCUAUAAUUUACUAAUUU